Molecule: long non-coding RNA, 320 nt
Filed under: Sinocyclocheilus rhinocerous
Lineage: Eukaryota; Metazoa; Chordata; Actinopteri; Cypriniformes; Cyprinidae
Description: lncRNA (ENSSRHG00000033514.1)
Source: RNAcentral
CAAGAACACGUUACACUGCACCCCAUAAACACAAACAAGCCUUUAAAACACUCCCUCGAUGAAAUGUAGGCUACUCAACAUGUGCCACCCUGCGGCGAUGGUUGAAGAAAGACAAAUGAGAAAGUACUUCACCAUAUGCUUGAUAUUAUCGCAUGCAAGACCGUGAAACAAGCACUCAGACGGAUGAUACAUCUGAAGAAACAGAACGACAGACAAAGAAAGGUCACCAUGUUGGUGUCACUGAUGAGAUUGAUGCUACCAGAACUGGACAAACUGUGUCUCAGACAAUGCAAUAUCCAAAUGUACAGAGGUCACUUCUC